ACGAAGCAAAUUGCGUUGAGUAAAGUCUGAUCAAAUCCAUUGAGAACACUCCUCAGGGCUAAAACUUAAUACUAACUUAAGAGUAUGGGUGCGGGAGGAUGCUUAAGGAUAAGGAAAUUCAAUUAAUGGCUCUCAGUUUUUAGCGGUUGCCCAGGUUAAAUAAAAAAAAAU
Molecule: long non-coding RNA, 171 nt
Organism: Drosophila navojoa
Lineage: Eukaryota; Metazoa; Arthropoda; Insecta; Diptera; Drosophilidae
Source: RefSeq, a predicted model, not a curated record